CCCUCCCUCCACCGGGAAGGGUGCUGUGUGUCUCUGUGGAAUUAGAGCCUGGUAUGGGGGGGGGGGGUCUACCUCCAGCAUGCUGACAUCAAAAGGCUCUUUGGUGGCAGCCUUCACAAGGAGGAGCAUCUCACUACGGACUCCUGGAGACACAUCCAACUUACUUCAUAUAAACACCUCCCUCUGCAACUGUGUCCUGGACUUCCUGACGGGCCACCCCCAGGUGGUAAGGGACAGGACAAUGGUCUAAUUCACUCAUUAAACAGAGAACAUCCCUGGUCAUCCCUACUGCCUCUGAUCUGGAGGACUCACUACACAGAGAACAUCCCUGGUCAUCCCUAC
Oncorhynchus tshawytscha (Chinook salmon) is the source of this 342-nucleotide long non-coding RNA. The record is from Ensembl. NCBI's taxonomy places the organism in Eukaryota, Metazoa, Chordata, Actinopteri, Salmoniformes, Salmonidae.